GAGUUUGAUCUUGGCUCAGAUUGAACGCUGGCGGCAGGCCUAACACAUGCAAGUCGAGCGGCAGCGCGGGGCAACCUGGCGGCGAGCGGCGGACGGGUGAGUAACGCGUAGGAAUCUACCCAGUAGCGGGGGAUAGCCCGGGGAAACUCGGAUUAAUACCGCAUACGCCCUAAGGGGGAAAGCAGGGGAUCUUCGGACCUUGCACUAUUGGAAGAGCCUGCGUUGGAUUAGCUAGUUGGUAGGGUAAAGGCCUACCAAGGCGACGAUCCAUAACUGGUCUGAGAGGAUGAUCAGUCACACCGGAACUGAGACACGGUCCGGACUCCUACGGGAGGCAGCAGUGGGGAAUAUUGGACAAUGGGGGCAACCCUGAUCCAGCCAUGCCGCGUGUGUGAAGAA
Molecule: ribosomal RNA, 399 nt
Filed under: uncultured Gammaproteobacteria bacterium
Lineage: Bacteria; Pseudomonadati; Pseudomonadota; Gammaproteobacteria
Description: bacterial SSU rRNA
Rfam family: Bacterial small subunit ribosomal RNA
Source: RNAcentral